UGGGGAAUAUUGCGCAAUGGGCGAAAGCCUGACGCAGCGACGCCGCGUGUGGGAUGACGGCCUUCGGGUUGUAAACCACUGUCGCGAGGGACGAAGAUCUGACGGUACCUCGAAAGGAAGCACCGGCUAACUCUGUGCCAGCAGCCGCGGUAAUACAGAGGGUGCGAGCGUUGUCCGGAAUCACUGGGCGUAAAGGGCGCGUAGGUGGCCUGAUAAGUAGGGGGUGAAAUCUCGAGGCUCAACUUCGAGGCUGCCUCUUAAACUGUCAGGCUCGAGCAGAGUAGAGGCAGGUGGAAUUCCCGGUGUAGCGGUGGAAUGCGUAGAGAUCGGGAAGAACAUCGGUGGCGAAGGCGGCCUGCUGGGCUCUUGCUGACACUGAGGCGCGACAGCGUGGGGAGCAAACAGGAUUAGAUACCCCAGUAGUCCCUGAGCGGGCUGGCAAGGCGCAU
Molecule: ribosomal RNA, 449 nt
Filed under: uncultured bacterium
Lineage: Bacteria
Description: bacterial SSU rRNA
Rfam family: Bacterial small subunit ribosomal RNA
Source: RNAcentral